CGGGGCGUAGCGCAGCUUGGUAGCGCACUUGCAUGGGGUGCAAGGGGUCGCAGGUUCAAAUCCUGUCGCCCCGA
This 74-nucleotide transfer RNA is filed under the name Methyloglobulus morosus KoM1. RNAcentral's name for it is "Methylococcaceae bacterium KoM1 tRNA". It matches the Rfam family "tRNA". Rfam says of the family: Transfer RNA (tRNA) molecules are approximately 80 nucleotides in length. Their secondary structure includes four short double-helical elements and three loops (D, anti-codon, and T loops). Lineage: Bacteria; Pseudomonadati; Pseudomonadota; Gammaproteobacteria; Methylococcales; Methylococcaceae. The record is from Rfam by way of RNAcentral.